RNAcentral lists this small RNA (489 nucleotides) under Pan troglodytes (chimpanzee). Its description in RNAcentral is "processed transcript". Lineage: Eukaryota; Metazoa; Chordata; Mammalia; Primates; Hominidae. The record is from RNAcentral.
GUUACAGGCACGCAGCACCGCAGCACUGCACCGGCUAUUGUUCUUUUAUUUUUUUCCCUCUUUGUCCCUGAAAGAGUCAAGCCACUAAUUGUCAGUAAUCAAAUCAGACCACGAUUUCCCAGGCAAACUCCUGGCAGUUCUACAUUUAGGAAUGACUAGCUAGAGACAUCCUGAAGAAUGAGUUAUUCGGGGAGGCGCCAGCCACCUCCUCUAACUUCACCUCUAUCUGCCCUCUGUGCUCAAAGAUUUGGAAAGAGACAGCUUAACAGAAAAGGAAUGUGUGAAGGAGAAAUUGAAUCUCUUGCACGAAUUUCUGCAAACAGAAAUAAAGAAUCAGUUAUGUGACUUGGAAACCAAAUUACGUAAAGAAGAAUUAUCCGAGGAGGGCUACCUGGCUAAAGUCAAAUCCCUUUUAAAUAAAGAUUUGUCCUUGGAGAACGGUGCUCAUGCUUACAACCGGGAAGUGAAUGGACGUCUAGAAAACGGGAA